CAGGGACCGAGCCUGCGUCUCUUGCAGAUUCUUUACCACUAGUGCCACCUGGGAUUUCACCAUUCAGAGACCUCAGAGUUCUUGGGUCCUGCUACCUCUGGGUGGGAGGUUAGAGGCAAGUUUCUGGAGCUCACUCUAACACACCCAGGGGCCCCACCCUGCCUGGAUGCCAGCCAGCACCAGUGCCAACAUCCCCCUGAGUCACUGCGCAGUGUGGGUGUGGUUUCCCGGUGACCCAGCCAAACAUCCGUCCCUGAGCUGAUGAAGCUGGAGCCGGGGCUGCAGCCCCGCCUUCCCCACCCUUGCCUGUGCUGCCCUGGGACCAGGCAAGUAAAAUGAUACAGGGCCCUGGGGAGCUCUGAAGCAGGUCAACAGGAGGAAGCACUUUUCCAGGACAAGUAUGUCCCAGGAGAAGACUCUUGAGGGUCCCUUGGACUUCAAGGAGAUCAAACCGGUCCAUCCUAAAGGAAAUCAAUCCUGAAUAUUCAUUAGAAGGGCUGAAGCUGAAGCUCCAAUCCUUUGGCCACCUGAUGCAAAGAGUCAGCUCGUUUGAAAAGACUCUGAUCCUGGGAAAGAUUGAGGGCAGGAGGAGAAGGUGGCAACAGAGGAUGAGAUGGUUGGAUGGCAUCACCGACGCAACGGACAUGAGUUUGAACAAGCUCCAGACUUGGUGAUGGACAGGGAGGCCUGGCGUGCUGUGGUCCGUGGGGUCCCAAAGAGUGGGACACGAUGGAGCGACUGAACAACGCCCCAGCUUGUGCUUCAUCCGGCCCAGCGUUAAGGUCAAGCAAACAUGAAAUCAAGAUCAGAUGACAAGCAUGUGGCGGAGAUGCAGUGAGUGAGAGAAGAGAGCGACACACAUCAAAUCGAGGCCCCCAGGACCGACCCCAAGAGGCCUGACUCGUCAGGACAGCGAAGCGGUCCCUUGGACGGAAAAGAGAUCAAACCAGUUAACACUAAAGGAAAUCAACCCUGAAGAGUCAUUGGAACAACUGAAGCUGAAGCUCCAAUACUUUGGCCACCUGAUGCGAAGAGCUGACACUGGAAAAGACCUGAUGCUGGGAAAGACUGAAGGCAGGAGGAGAAGGGCAGCAGAGGAUGAGGUGGCUGGAUAGAAUGACCAACUCGAUGGACAUAAAUUUGAGCAAACUCCGGGAAGACAGCGGAGGACAAAGGAGCCUGGCAUGCUGCAGUCCAUGGGAUCGCAGAGUGGGACACGAC
Ovis aries (sheep) is the source of this 1221-nucleotide long non-coding RNA. Lineage: Eukaryota; Metazoa; Chordata; Mammalia; Artiodactyla; Bovidae. The record is from Ensembl.